UACGUAGGGUGCAAGCGUUGUCCGGAAUUAUUGGGCGUAAAGAGCUCGUAGGCGGUUCGUCGCGUCGGCUGUGAAAUCCCGAGGCUCAACCUCGGGUCUGCAGUCGAUACGGGCGGACUGGAGUACUGCAGGGGAGACUGGAAUUCCUGGUGUAGCGGUGAAAUGCGCAGAUAUCAGGAGGAACACCGGUGGCGAAGGCGGGUCGCUGGGCAGUUACUGACGCUGAGGAGCGAAAGCGUGGGGAGCGAGCCGG
Molecule: ribosomal RNA, 253 nt
Filed under: uncultured bacterium
Lineage: Bacteria
Description: partial 16S ribosomal RNA
Rfam family: Bacterial small subunit ribosomal RNA
Source: RNAcentral